RNAcentral lists this ribosomal RNA (216 nucleotides) under Glomeromycotina sp. Its description in RNAcentral is "partial small subunit ribosomal RNA". The stretch from base 44 to 216 matches the Rfam family "Eukaryotic small subunit ribosomal RNA", at positions 690 to 864 of the family's 1831-position model. Lineage: Eukaryota; Fungi; Glomeromycota. The record is from RNAcentral.
GGGUCAGUAGGUUGGUCGUGCCACCGGUACGUACUGGUCUCACUGAUUCCUCCUUCCUGAAGAACCGUAAUGCCAUUAAUUUGGUGUUGCGGGGAAACAGGACUGUUACUUUGAAAAAAUCAGAGUGUUUAAAGCAAGCUAACGCUUGAAUACAUUAGCAUGGAACAAUGAAAUAGGACGACCGAUCCUAUUUUGUUGGUUUCUAGGAUUGACGUA